AUAAUGACUCUCGGCAACGAAUAUCUAGGCUCUUGCAUCGAUGAAGAACGUAGCGAAAUGCGAUACUUGGUGUGAAUUGCAGAAUCCCGUGAACCAUCGAGUCUUUGAACGCAAGUUGCGCCCGAAGCCAUUAGGUUGAGGGCACGUCUGCCUGGGCGUCACAU
RNAcentral lists this ribosomal RNA (164 nucleotides) under Caragana sinica. Its description in RNAcentral is "5.8S ribosomal RNA". It matches the Rfam family "5.8S ribosomal RNA". Rfam says of the family: 5.8S ribosomal RNA (5.8S rRNA) is a component of the large subunit of the eukaryotic ribosome. It is transcribed by RNA polymerase I as part of the 45S precursor that also contains 18S and 28S rRNA. Lineage: Eukaryota; Viridiplantae; Streptophyta; Magnoliopsida; Fabales; Fabaceae. The record is from RNAcentral.